AAUAUUGGACAACGGGCGAAAGCCUGAUCUAGCCAUGCCGCGUGUGUGAAGAAGGUCUUCGGAUUGUAAAGCACUUUAAGUUGGGUGGAAGGGUUGUCGGUUAAUACCCUGCACUUUCGACGUUACCAACAGAAUACGCACUGGCUAACUUCGUGCCAGCAGCCGCGGUAAUACGAAGGGUGCAAGCGUUAAUCGGAAUUACUGGGCGCAAAGCGCGCGUAGGUGGUUCGUUAAGUUGGAAGUGAAAGCCCCGGGCUUAACCUGGGAAUUGCUUUCAAAACUGACGAGCUAGAGUACGGUAGAGGGUAGUGGAAUUUCCUGUGUAGCGGUGAAAUGCGUAGAUAUAGGAAGGAACAUCAGUGGCGAAGGCGACUACCUGGACUGAUACUGACACUGAGGUGCGAAAGCGUGGGGAGCAAACAGG
Molecule: ribosomal RNA, 424 nt
Filed under: uncultured bacterium
Lineage: Bacteria
Description: partial 16S ribosomal RNA
Rfam family: Bacterial small subunit ribosomal RNA
Source: RNAcentral